RNAcentral lists this ribosomal RNA (299 nucleotides) under uncultured bacterium. RNAcentral's name for it is "partial 16S ribosomal RNA". It matches the Rfam family "Bacterial small subunit ribosomal RNA", at positions 392 to 710 of the family's 1533-position model. The record is from RNAcentral.
CAACGCCGCGUGAAGGAAGACGGCCUUCGGGUUGUAAACCGCUUUCAGCAGGGACGAAAUUGACGGUACCUGCAGAAGAAGCUCCGGCCAACUACGUGCCAGCAGCCGCGGUAAGACGUAGGGGGCGAGCGUUGUCCGGAAUUAUUGGGCGUAAAGGGCUCCUAGGCGGUUCAGUAAGUCGACUGUGAAAAUCCAAGGCUCAACCUUGGGACGCCGUCGAUACUGCUGUGACUCGAGUUCGGUAGAGGAGUGUGGAAUUCCUGGUGUACGGUGAAAUGCGCNAUAUCAGGGACACCAAC